GAAUAAUAAUACUACAAAACCCCUUCUUUUCCCUCUCGUUUUAUUUUCUCUCUCCUAAUUCAUCCUUUUUAGCUUCAAUCCCCAAGAACUUAUUCUACUUCAUCACCGAUCAUCUUAGGGUUUCAAUUUUCGAAUAUGGAUUCCUUCGCUUAUCAUGAUGCUAACAUUUCUAAUUUGAUUGAAAAUCGUACUAUCACCUACCGCCAUGAUGGUAAGCAUACUUUACACAUGCACUCGUCUAUGGUACGGAGGCUGGCACUGGAAAGAGAAUUGGAGGGACAUAUAGGUUGUGUAAAUACUAUUGCAUGGAACUCUAUAGGUUCGCUCCUGAUAUCCGGAUCAGAUGACACUCGGAUCAAUAUUUGGAGGUACUCUGAUCGUAAGCUUUUGAAUUGCAUUGAUACGGGUCAUUCUUCCAACAUAUUCUGUACGAAGUUUAUACCUGAGACUUCUGAUGAGAUUGUGGCAUCUGGGGCUGGUGAUGCAGAGGUUCGUAUAUUCAACACCUCUUGCUUAAGUGAAGGAAGGGUUGAAGAGACUGCAGUCGUUCCGUGUGCUCAUUUUCAGUGUCAUAAUAGAAGAGUUAAAAAAUUAGCGGUUGAAGUUGGAAACCCGAAUGUGAUCUGGAGUGCUAGUGAGGAUGGAACUUUGAGACAGCAUGAUCUUCGUGAAAGCAGUUCUUGUCCUCGGCCUGGAUCGUCUAAUCAAGAAUGUCGCAGUGUACUACUUGACUUACGCGGUGCUGCAAAAAGGUCCUUGAUGGAGCCUCCUAAGCAGCUUCUUCAACUGAAGUCUUGUGAUAUCAGUGUGACAAGGCCCCAUCUGCUUCUUGUUGGCGGGAGUGAUGCAUUUGCUCGCUUGUAUGAUAGAAGGAUGCUGCCUCCAAUGUCUUCCUGUCGCAGAAAAAAUUCACCCCCUCCUUGUGUUAACUAUUUUUGCCCAAUGCAUCUCUCUGAGCGGGGACGGUCGAGCUUGCAUCUAACUCAUGUAACAUUUAGUCCUAAUGGCGAAGAAAUUCUGAUGAGCUAUAGUGGAGAGCAUGUCUACCUUAUGGACCUAAAGCAAGGUGGUGGGAAUUCUGUGCAGUACACAUGUGGAGAUGUUGAAAAUCGAUGGAGCUUUUCUCCUUUUCCUAACGCAGUGGAACUUUCAUCUCUUGGAGCUGUUGCUUCUGAAAAUUUCUCAGCCAAAAGCAAUGCAGGUGUGCAGAAUGGCAAGUGCACAAAGCUGGUGGAAAUGGCAGAAAAAUGUUUGGAAGUGGGGACACAAUACUACUCUGGUAUUGAAGCAUGCAAUGAAGUUCUGGAUGGAGGUCAUAAAAUUGAUCCCCUGCUAAAGCAUGAUUGUCUCUGUGCACGUGCUGCCUUGCUCCUAAAGCGGAAGUGGAAAAAUGACGCUCACAUGGCUGUAAGGGAUUUGAAUCAAGCUCGAAAAAUUAAUUCUUCUUCAUUUAAAUCACACUUCUGCAUGUCUGAAGCCUUAUCUCAGUUGGGCAAGCACAAAGGAGCUCUAGAUUUUGCUCUUGCAGCUCAGUGUCUGGAUCCCUCGAAUGCUGAAGUGGCAGAAAGGGUGGAAAUUAUAAGGAAGCAGUUGUCGGCAGCUGAAGCUGAGAAGAACAAGAAGUUGAAUGAUACAGGAUCCAAGUCUGAACCACGUGCUGGUAGAGUGAUCUCACUAAGUGACAUACUUUAUCGUUCAGGGGCUAACAGUGAUGCUUCACAAGAUGGUCCUCGAUCAGAAAGAGAUGACUCUGAUUAUGAUGAAGAACUAGAAUUGGAUUUCGAAACGUCCAUGUCAGGUGAUGAGGGCCGUGAUGCUGAAUCAAAUGUCCUUCAUGGAAGUUUAAAUUUGAGAAUGCAUAGAAGAGCUGAUUCAGCUAAAGAAGCUGGUGGUUCAAAUAGCACAUGUGGAUCUCCUUCUUCCUGUCAAAAUGACAAAACGAUUUAUCAGCCAGAAGCAGUCAUCGAUAUGAAACAGAGAUACGUUGGUCACUGUAAUGUAGGAACUGACAUAAAACAGGCUAGUUUCUUGGGGCAGAACGGUGAUUAUAUUGCAAGUGGAAGUGACGGUGGCCGAUGGUUUAUUUGGGAAAAGAAAACCGGCAGAUUGGUUAAAAUGCUUCUUGGCGAUAAAGCUGUGGUAAACUGUGUCCAGUGUCACCCUUUCGAUUCUGUUGUGGCUACAAGCGGAAUAGAUAGCACAGUUAAGAUUUGGACUCCGAGUGCUUCAGUCCCUUCAAUGGUAGCUGGUGGGUCAGCUGGUCCUGAUACAGCUAAUGUAUUGGAAGUGAUGGAGGGAAAUCAACAUAGACUGUGUGAGACACAUGAAGCAAUUCUGUUUCUCUUCAGAAGUCCAUUUGAUUGUGAGGAUGUUUUUGCAACAUGACAUGCCUUACCCAAAAUAUCUGCCUCUUGAGCUGUUGGAGAGGUUUCGCAUGCAUGAUUUUACUGAAGGAACAUUGCAUCCUUUUGAGUGUGCUCAGAGCUAGCUGCUCUCCUACAUAUUCCAGGCUAGUCUCUGGCUAUUAUUCGUCAGUCUGCCGCUUGGUCAAGUGAAGGAAACCUGAAGGAUUUUAUGGAAUCACAAAGCAUAUGUCAUCAUCACCCAUGGAGUUUUACAGCAAUUUGUUUGUAUAAUCAGAGGCAGCAUUGUUCCACCAUGUUGCUGCCUUUUUCUUUCUUUUCUGUUCUUUUUUCUGUUUAUGGUUUUUUUUUUGUGUUCUUUUUAGUUUUUGCUCUGACUGGGUCCGGAAAGCCAUUGUGAAGGUGCAUGGUUGGCUGGUUGCUAUGUAAAUUGGUUGAGAAACAAUAAGGUUGAGCACAGUACAGUUCCUUAUUUUCGAUUUUCGACACAGGUUUUGUAAGUUGACUUUGCCAGUGUAAUUGGGUUCAAUUUCUAUGUAAAGUAAUAAUAUUCCUGUUAUAUAAGUUAGAAACUUGUCUUGUA
RNA transcript from Beta vulgaris subsp. vulgaris (sugar beet), 2946 nucleotides. It is a transcript of the gene named protein ALTERED SEED GERMINATION 2, with no coding region annotated. Lineage: Eukaryota; Viridiplantae; Streptophyta; Magnoliopsida; Caryophyllales; Amaranthaceae. The record is from RefSeq and is a predicted model, not a curated record. The transcript has 21 exons.